Phascolarctos cinereus (koala) is the source of this 1215-nucleotide long non-coding RNA. RefSeq lists it as uncharacterized. NCBI's taxonomy places the organism in Eukaryota, Metazoa, Chordata, Mammalia, Diprotodontia, Phascolarctidae. The record is from RefSeq and is a predicted model, not a curated record.
AGGUUCCCAUAUUAGAAACCUGUUUUAGUAAAACAGAAUUGGUGAGGGGAUUUUGGUUAACCCUAUGGAAUUUUACUGUACGGACCUCUUGCCCCACAGCACUGUACAAUCUUGUCUACUGGUACGUCCACCUUCUAUAACCUUCAGGCUUCCAAAAUUACCAGGGUCCCAGAUACAGGCAGAAAAAAAACCAAAAGCCGCGGCAGCCUCUCAGCACUGAGCACAAGCCUGGGAGAUGAUGUCUGAUGUGCUCUGCUCGCUUUGGUUCUGUUAAUGAAAGGAAAUGUGUUCUGCCUGACUGGCACAGUCUAUAAAAAGGCCGAUGUUCUCAGGGAGAAGAGCCCAGGAAGCAGACAGAGAGAGCAGCAGCCAGGAAGGGGGGAGUGGACCCAAGAUGCACAAGGGGCCCAGACAGGCUCCACGGGUCAGGCCCCCCACCAGGCAGGUCAGCCUCCACAGCACAAGAUAAUAAUGUCAGAAAGCAAGCACAAGUUACAGUCCGUUUCAAAAAGAUUUCUAUGCCAAAACAGCUAAAGCCAUUUCAGUAUAAACACCCACCCAUUUAGAACCCUGGCCUAGCCCAGAGUGACUCCUUCUCCAUGACGACCAGAGAACCAAUAAUAAUAACCCCUAGUAACCCCAUCAGGAGGUGUUACCAGAUGAAGCUGGCAAGGCAGGAGCUGGUUUUGCUGCCCUGCUCUGACCCAAGAGGCUGCUGCCAAGGAUGCACUGAUCAGUCUCCGUGACAGUAGGAAGCAGUAACCCAUGCUCCUGGGGGCCCUUCAUUGGAAAAACGGCCAGUCACCUCUAAAGCAAAGCGCUUCCCAUCAGGCCGUCCCAGCACGACAGCUCUAAGACCAUGUGGUCCUCUGACCUCCCUAAAGAAAUGAGCCGCUGCUACCUUAGCUUCUCCAGAGGCAGGAGACAAGGUGCUCCCCUGGGAAGGACCAGCCACACAAGCAUUCCAUGCCACUAAGAAGUUUGUUCCUCAAUGUAAGUUUUACAGGAGCACGUUGGAGCCCUCUGGCUUACAGCAAUCUUCCAAUCAGUCAAUUCACAAGUGGAAUGGGCUGCCUAGGCAGGUAGUGAGCUCCCCUCACUGGAGCCUUUGAUGAGUCCGAUUGUUGGGACUGAAGGCGAAGAAAUCCCUUCCCAGGUCUGGGUUAAACAAGAAGGCCACUGGGCUCCCUCUCGACUUGAAAUUCUGUGAUUCUA